This is a long non-coding RNA of Passer domesticus (house sparrow), 2040 nucleotides long. RefSeq lists it as uncharacterized. NCBI's taxonomy places the organism in Eukaryota, Metazoa, Chordata, Aves, Passeriformes, Passeridae. The record is from RefSeq and is a predicted model, not a curated record. The transcript has 3 exons.
UGAAAUUACUGUUUCUAAAAGACUGAUAUAAAUUCCAUCCCAUCAUUGCAGGACAUUGUGGGGAAAACUGACAGACCAGCCAUAGCUGUUAACAGAAGUGGAGUCACAGCGUGCCUGCUAGAUUGUUUUUAUCAAAGUCCUUCAAGAAGGUCCUUCUUUCAUCAGGCAGCAAACUAUGGACGUUCUGAAUUCACCCACACUUGUGGACUCAGCAUGGCUGCAAGUCUCCAGAUCUCAUCAGGUAUUUGACACAUUUACAAGAUACCUCUCAGCAUCUAUUUUUCACUCUUCAGCCUGCUAUUUUCCAACAGGUAUUUUUUUCAGCUGUAUCUACUGGCAUCUGUAGAACCUGUUCACCAAAACUCAUACAGAAGGAAAUUUUACAGUGCCCACCCCCAGGCCACCAUUACUAGUGUUUUUGAGAAGCCUUCAGUUGUUAAACACAAGUGUUUCCAUUACAGUGAACGAUGCCAUUUGGGAAAUAUCUCCGUUCUACCCUGUAGCACUACAUAAGCUCCAUUUUUAAUAGUACUCUGUGAGUUCACCUCACCAUCAGACUUUAUCUAUCACUCUUUUAACAGUAUCUUUCAUUUGGCAACUGUUUUCAUAAAGUUAUGGAUUUAGAUUUUUUUGGUUUUUUGCAGCUCCUAUUAGAAAAACAAAUAAAAAAACCCCCACAAAAUAAAAUAAUAAUAAAAAAAACCCCAAAAAAAAAAAAACAAUAAAAAACUAACAAAAAAAUCCCCAAAUAACCAACUUUUUUCCUGCUUUGUGCAAAAGUUGCCAAUAGCUACAGUUUUCCUUUUCAGGGAAGGCAGGGAAAGGGGAAAAACCUUAUAUUGCCACCAAACAUUUUUAUUUCAUUAUCAUUUGACUAUAGCACUGGUAAAAACCACAUACAUAUUACUUAUGAAAAUUAUUGUGCAUGUGACAAUAUUCCAAGCACCAGUGCUGAAUUUUGCAUACUGAAUUGGACAGUAGUUCCUAACUAAGAAUGAAGCACUGUCAGUAGUUUUGAUUUCUGUGGCAACAUUUAAAAUACCAGCCUAUCAUUGGGAAAACAUGUUUUGGAGGUUAUAUACAGGUUUCUUAGGGCUCAUGUAAGCCUGAAAUACCUGGAGACAGUUUUGAAGAUAUGUAGUUGUAUAUACUUAUUUCUUGCCAUAUAUUCACAGUGGGAAGUAUUUUUUUAUCUGUAUUUUCUCCCACAAUUUACUUAUAUCCCCAGUUACUAUGUAUAAAGCAGGAUCUCCAGCUACAACUCCUUGCCCACUGUACACUAAAGUAUUUUCACUCCCUUAAUUUGCUAACAAUAUCAAUAAACAAAAAAGACUGUCUACAAGCUGAUUCAACACUAUCAUACAUAUAAGGACAGCAUUAUCAUGGACACAAUGCGCUGUACCAGAAACUGAAGGUUUGCUGUAAAGAUAAAUCUCCCUGCCAACUUACUAAGUGUCCUGAAUGUUGUAAAGAAGUAUUCCUCAGGGAGGUGCCCAGUUUAUUAAACAGAUUUUUCAUUAGUUUUUCAUGUUGAAUCUGAUUUUUAUGGAAAACAAUAAGUAAAAAAAAAACCAAAUCCCAGGAUUUUAUGAAACACUUCACCUUCCACUUGAAAACUGGAUGCAUAAUUUUCCGUUGCUUGGAACUCUAUAAUAUAUUGAGAACAAAGGCAGGCACCCUUAUUCUUUUCUAAGUCUGCAUCAGAAAGAUAUUUUUCCUGAUUUUUUUCAUAUUCAGUAAAUAAUCUAGGUGCAAUGAAAAAUAUAAAUACAAAAUGCACUAUCUGCUCUAAAAAUACACAUAUUUCAUAUUUCUAGUAUUGCUUACACGCUGCAAAUCUUUCAUUUCUGUUAUUGCAUGGCUACAGAGGAGGUAAAAUAAAAUUUUUAUAGACACAGAUUUUAGCUGUCUCCAAGACUGAUCUUUCUCAUAGAUAAAUUCAGUUUUAUUUUAGUCAUCAGCGUUAUUUAUCUCUGAAAUAGACAACUUUCUUAAUUCAGCACUCAGCAGUACUGUGGAAAUAUUGAUCUGCAAUCAACA